This 246-nucleotide ribosomal RNA is filed under the name uncultured bacterium. RNAcentral's name for it is "partial 16S ribosomal RNA". It matches the Rfam family "Bacterial small subunit ribosomal RNA", at positions 527 to 772 of the family's 1533-position model. The record is from RNAcentral.
GUAGGGGGCAAGCGUUAUCCGGAUUUACUGGGUGUAAAGGGAGCGUAGGCGGCGAUGCAAGUCAGAAGUGAAAGCCCGGGGCUCAACUCCGGGACUGCUUUUGAAACUGUGUUGCUAGAUUGCAGGAGAGGUAAGUGGAAUUCCUAGUGUAGCGGUGAAAUGCGUAGAUAUUAGGAGGAACACCAGUGGCGAAGGCGGCUUACUGGACUGUAAAUGACGCUGAGGCUCGAAAGCGUGGGGAGCAAA